GAGUCUCCCUUUAUUGCCCAGGCUGGACUGCAGUGGCGUGAUCUCGGCUCACUGCAAGCUCCGCCUCCCGGAUUCAAGCGAUUCUUCUGCCUCAGCCUGCGAUUCUUCUGCCUCAGCCUCCCGAGUAGCUGGGACUACAGGCACGUGCUACCACACCUGGCUAAGUUUUUGUAUUUUUAGUAGAGAUGGGGUUUCACCAGAUUAGCCAGGAUGGUCUCCAGCUCCUGACCUCGUGAACCGCCCGCCUUCGUCUUACAAAGUGCUGGGAUUACAGGCAUGAGCUUCCGCGCCCGGCCCCGAAACUUUCUUUCAACAAGAGUUAGAGGAGUACAGAGAAGAGAAUAAAUUGGUGAGGAAUUUCAUGGAAGAGGUGAAAUUUAAGAAGAAUUUUAAAGAAUAGGUAGAAUUUGGUUAUGUGGAAAGGAGUCAAAAAGUUUUUCCAGGCAGAAGGAAAAUUGAGUAAAAACUUUGAGUCAGAAAAAAGCAUGAUCCAGAAAUGUGAGAAAACUAGUCUGGGACACUGAGUUGUUUUUUUCUUUGCAUGUAUUCAACAAAUAUUUAUUGAAUAACUACCAAGUUUCCAGCGCCAUACUAGGCGAUUCUUCUGCCUCAGCCUGCGAUUCUUCUGCCUCAGCCUCCCGAGUAGCUGGGACUACAGGCACGUGCUACCACACCUGGCUAAGUUUUUGUAUUUUUAGUAGAGAUGGGGUUUCACCAGAUUAGCCAGGAUGGUCUCCAGCUCCUGACCUCGUGAACCGCCCGCCUUCGUCUUACAAAGUGCUGGGAUUACAGGCAUGAGCUUCCGCGCCCGGCCCCGAAACUUUCUUUCAACAAGAGUUAGAGGAGUACAGAGAAGAGAAUAAAUUGGUGAGGAAUUUCAUGGAAGAGGUGAAAUUUAAGAAGAAUUUUAAAGAAUAGGUAGAAUUU
RNAcentral lists this long non-coding RNA (927 nucleotides) under Homo sapiens (human). RNAcentral describes it as "non-protein coding lnc-C12orf74-5:5". Lineage: Eukaryota; Metazoa; Chordata; Mammalia; Primates; Hominidae. The record is from RNAcentral.